Non-coding RNA from Equus caballus (horse), 529 nucleotides. The record is from RefSeq and is a predicted model, not a curated record. NCBI's taxonomy places the organism in Eukaryota, Metazoa, Chordata, Mammalia, Perissodactyla, Equidae.
GGAUUCGAACCAACACUGGACCGCCUGCAGCGGAGCAUGCGACUUAACCACUUGGCCACGGGGCCAGCCCCAUCAUGUUAUUUUUUGUCCUCCACAGUCUUGAGCCCAGGAGAGUACAGCGUACUGGGAAAAGGAAAUCCUCUUCUGCCUACACCUAAAAAUUCAUAAGGUAAGUGUAUGACAUUGAAGGAUUGAAAGACCAUGGGGCAGCAGAAAAGGAAACCAUUUUCCCUCCUGAAGUAAUCCUAGAUCCUGACUUGAACAAACUGAUUGCUAAUGACAAUAGGGAGAUUUGAACAUUGACUGGAUAUUUGAUGGUAGGGAGUUAUUAUCUUUUCAGGUGGGGUAAUAAUAUUGUGGUCAUAUUUAAAAGAAAAAGUACUUACCUUUUAGAAAUAUUUACUGAAGUACAUAUGGAUGACGUAAUGUAAUAUCUGGGAUCUCUUGGGGAGAGGAAGAAGUGGUCAGGAGUAUGGAUAUGAAUGGCCGUGUAUUAGUAAUUGUCGUAGCUGGCUGAUGGGUACAGGAG